AUUGAACGCUGGCGGCAGGCCUAACACAUGCAAGUCGAGCGGAUGAAGGGAGCUUGCUCCUGGAUUCAGCGGCGGACGGGUGAGUAAUGCCUAGGAAUCUGCCUGGUAGUGGGGGAUAACGUCCGGAAACGGGCGCUAAUACCGCAUACGUCCUGAGGGAGAAAGUGGGGGAUCUUCGGACCUCACGCUAUCAGAUGAGCCUAGGUCGGAUUAGCUAGUUGGUGGGGUAAAGGCCUACCAAGGCGACGAUCCGUAACUGGUCUGAGAGGAUGAUCAGUCACACUGGAACUGAGACACGGUCCAGACUCAGACGGGAGGCAGCAGGGGGGAAUAUUGGACAAUGGGCGAAAGCCUGAUCCAGCCAUGCCGCGUGUGUGAAGAAGGUCUGCGGAUUGUAAAGCACUUUAAGUUGGGAGGAAGGGCAGUAAGUUAAUACCUUGCUGUUUUGACGUUACCAACAGAAUAAGCACCGGCGAACUUCGU
This 483-nucleotide ribosomal RNA is filed under the name uncultured bacterium. Its description in RNAcentral is "partial 16S ribosomal RNA". It matches the Rfam family "Bacterial small subunit ribosomal RNA", at positions 30 to 506 of the family's 1533-position model. The record is from RNAcentral.